GAUGAACGCUGGCGGCGUGCCUAACACAUGCAAGUCGAGCGAUCUUCUUCGGAAGAGAGCGGCGGACGGGUGAGUAACGCGUGGGUAACCUGCCUCAUACACAUGGAUAACAUACCGAAAGGUAUGCUAAUACAAGAUGAUAUAAGAGAUUCGCAUGAAUUUCUUAUCAAAGCUUUUGCGGUAUGAGAUGGACCCGCGUCUGAUUAGCUAGUUGGUAAGGUAAUGGCUUACCAAGGCGACGAUCAGUAGCCGACCUGAGAGGGUGAUCGGCCACAUUGGAACUGAGACACGGUCCAAACUCCUACGGGAGGCAGCAGUGGGGAAUAUUGCACAAUGGGCGAAAGCCUGAUGCAGCAACGCCGCGUGAGCGAUGAAGGCCUUCGGGUCGUAAAGCUCUGUCCUCAAGGAAGAUAAUGACGGUACUUGAGGAGGAAGCCCCGGCUAACUACGUGCCAGCCGCCGCCGUAA
Molecule: ribosomal RNA, 468 nt
Filed under: uncultured bacterium
Lineage: Bacteria
Description: partial 16S ribosomal RNA
Rfam family: Bacterial small subunit ribosomal RNA
Source: RNAcentral